ACCUCUUUCAGCAGAUCCCCUAGCUCGGCGACUUGGGGGACUCCUACUACAUGGUUUGUAUCGCGCUUGACCAAGCCUGAAACUACAAGUAAGCUUCAAGUGAAAUUGAUACAUUACCUUGUGCAUCUCCACCAGUUACAGAUACCACCCCUAGAUGGAGGAAGAGUACUUCCAGAGAAGAUGCCACAUCUACCUAUGAG
RNAcentral lists this long non-coding RNA (200 nucleotides) under Malus domestica (apple). RNAcentral's name for it is "long non-coding RNA (MDOM_LNC002766)". The record is from RNAcentral. Lineage: Eukaryota; Viridiplantae; Streptophyta; Magnoliopsida; Rosales; Rosaceae.